Molecule: long non-coding RNA, 201 nt
Filed under: Vigna radiata
Lineage: Eukaryota; Viridiplantae; Streptophyta; Magnoliopsida; Fabales; Fabaceae
Description: long non-coding RNA (VRAD_LNC002348)
Source: RNAcentral
GAGUCCCUACAUCAAUACAUCAUUCUACUUGAAAUAAUCAUCAAGAAUUUCACCCUAGAAACUCUUUCUAAACCAUAAUUGGAAACAUACAUAACUUCAUACAUAAACCUCAUAAAAUUUCCAUUGAUAUUACUAAAUAAUCCUUACAUUAUCAUUACAUUUCCAUCCAUAAGAAACAGAAAGAAUAAAAUAAAAGAAACC